AUUCCCAGUUAAAAGCUAGAAGCCAGAAGCAAGCAGACCAACCUGAGCAGCUUCCACGUCUCCCAUCCAGCGCAGGAUCGACUUCGUGAGAAUCUAGCAGACGUCAAGAUACAGUUGUUUGGGAUAAAACAGAUGGACAGAUCUUUGCACACAAUUCUUACCACAAGGCCAAUCCUGGAAGCACCUCCUAUUGAAAAUCCUAAUCGUGCUUCAGUUAUCCACAGAGAGCUCACUACAGUGCAGAAAUGUGCAAUCUCUCCCUCAAAUCCUGAGACUUCUUCAAGUAGACUGGCGAAGUACUUGGCUCAGAUGCAGCAGGAGUUAGAAAAAAAUAUGAUUGGAAGACCCGAACAAG
Long non-coding RNA from Nycticebus coucang (slow loris), 355 nucleotides. RefSeq lists it as uncharacterized. NCBI's taxonomy places the organism in Eukaryota, Metazoa, Chordata, Mammalia, Primates, Lorisidae. The record is from RefSeq and is a predicted model, not a curated record. The transcript is spliced from 3 exons.